RNAcentral lists this ribosomal RNA (253 nucleotides) under uncultured bacterium. Its description in RNAcentral is "partial 16S ribosomal RNA". It matches the Rfam family "Bacterial small subunit ribosomal RNA", at positions 524 to 776 of the family's 1533-position model. The record is from RNAcentral.
GACGAAGGUGGCAAGCGUUGUUCGGAAUCACUGGGCUUAAAGCGCACGUAGGCGGGCCGUUAAGCACCUUGUGAAAGCCCCCGGCUCAACCGGGGAAUUGCUUGGUGUACUGGCGGUCUUGAGGCAGGUAGGGGCGUGGAGAACUCUUGGUGGAGCGGUGAAAUGCGUAGAUAUCAAGAGGAAUGCCGGAGGUGAAGACGCCGCGCUGGGCCUGUCCUGACGCUGAGGUGCGAAAGCCAGGGGAGCAAACGGG